Molecule: ribosomal RNA, 465 nt
Filed under: uncultured bacterium
Lineage: Bacteria
Description: partial 16S ribosomal RNA
Rfam family: Bacterial small subunit ribosomal RNA
Source: RNAcentral
GACGAACGCUGGCGGCGUGCUUAACACAUGCAAGUCGAACGGAAAGGCCCUGCUUGCCGGGUACUCGAGUGGCGAACGGGUGAGUAACACGUGGGUGAUCUGCCCUGCACUUCGGGAUAAGCCUGGGAAACUGGGCCUAAUACCGGCUAGGAGCCAUUUUUAGUGUGAUGGUUGGAAAGUUUUUUCGGUGUAGGAUGAGCUCGCGGCCUAUCAGCUUGUUGGUGGGGUAAUUGCCUACCAAGGCGGCGAGGGGGAGCCGGCCUGAGAGGGUGGACGGCCACAGUGGGACUGAGAGACAGGCCGGACUCCGACGGGUGGCAGAAGGGGGGAAUGUUUCACAAUGGGAGGAAGCCUGAUGCAGGGACGCCGCGUGGGGGAUAACGGCCUUCGGGUUGUAAACACAUUUCGCUAGGGACGAAGCUUUGUGUGACGGUACCUAGAUAAGAAGCACCGGCUAACUACGUG